This 1394-nucleotide long non-coding RNA is filed under the name Nicotiana tabacum (common tobacco). RNAcentral describes it as "long non-coding RNA (NTAB_LNC017864)". Lineage: Eukaryota; Viridiplantae; Streptophyta; Magnoliopsida; Solanales; Solanaceae. The record is from RNAcentral.
UCGGUAUCCAAGAAGAACAGUUAUCGGAAUCAAUUCUGAGUCUCGCCAUAACUGGGUCCUCUCCGUUAUGACUGUUAGUCUCCUUUCUCUCUCCCCUUUUGUUUUCUUUUUUAUGUGCGAAAUAUUGAUGAAAUUAUGGUUUCAAAUUUUGAGGUUAUUUUUGCUUUGUAAUAAUUACUCUUUUAAGUACAGUUUAGCUAUUAUGAUUUGAGCUGCUUAACAUUCAAAUUGUAGAAAGGAAUGUUGUAAUUAGCUAGUUUAGGUAACCGAAUGAAAGAAAAAUAACAUUACCAACCCAGCUAAUAUAGGGUUAGCCCGGUGCACACGGCCAUACUCCAAGAGCUGUGAUGUAGACAGCUUACCCUAAUGCAAGCAUUAGUGGCUGCUUCCAUGGUUCGAACCCUUGUUCGGCUUUUAAUUCAUGCGCCCCUGGCCCUCGGAAUUUUGCGUUGUAAAAGAAAAAUUAUAAUCCAAGCUAGCCAUCUGGACUGAUCGAUCGUCUCGACGAUUGGUAACCGGUUGAUAUGGAAAUGCGAAAAAUGGGGAAAGUGCAAGUUAGAAAGUGAGUAAGUCCAUGAUAUCCAAGUUUUGGGUUUUCGAAGUGAAAGAUUGAGCAGCUGUGGAAUAUAAAGCUGCAAAGGGUAGUUCUUAGAAAGUGGAAAAGAAAGUGCUCGAGUGAUUCUCAUCUUCGGGAGCUAGUAUUAACAAAUGCCUAUCUUUUCAAUAUGUUUUUAAUGCCUAGUUUGGUGAUUUUUGCAGUGUGUUAUUGAGCAAGAGAACUUAAGGUAAUCUGAUGUCAAUUCUUCUCGGGUUGGAUCCCUUUCCCCUAUUUUGCUAUUUACUUCCUCCAAGUAAGAACAAAGUGUAUAAUCACAACAACAACAACAACAAGAAGAAGCCCCCAGUAAUUUCCCACAAGUGGGGUCUGGAGAGGGUAAGAUGUAAGCAACCUUACCCGUAAGAUGUAAGCAACCUUGCCCCUACCUUGGAAAGGGCAGAGAGGCAAAGUGUAUAAUCACAUAUAAUGUAAUAUCUACCCUGGUUUUAUGUACCAAACUCCAAAGCAAAAUCCAGUAUGUACUUCACUGAAUAGAAAGUGCUUGCCAUUGCAAGUUUUAUCUUUACCAGUUCCUGAAGAUCCCGUCUAGUCUUGUUCUUUGCUCUGCAAGACUUGUUUUGAUUAACCGUGAGUUUUCUACUAGAAUUAGAACUGCGGGCCUUCUGUAAUAACAUUUAGUUUCCUUCAAGAGUUCCUUUUCUUCUCAAAGAUCUAUCCUAAUAAGUCUCAUGCAAUUGCUCUUGUUUCCAUAAUAUUUCAUGUAUUCUAUUUUAUUUUUAGUUAGUAUUUAAUGUACUUGUACUUAUACUUUCUAUGAUGCUGAUUAAGAAUCUUC